UACAUGGGGUGCAAACGUUGCUCGGAAUUACUGGGCGUAAAGCGCACGUAGGCGGCUUUGUAAGUUAGAGGUGAAAGCCCAGGGCUUAACCCUGGAAUUGCCUUUAAGACUGCAUCGCUAGAAUCGUGGAGAGGUGAGUGGAAUUCCGAGUGUAGAGGUGAAAUUCGUAGAUAUUCGGAAGAACACCAGUGGCGAAGGCGACUCACUGGACACGUAUUGACGCUGAGGUGCGAAAGCGUGGGGAGCAAACAGG
This 253-nucleotide ribosomal RNA is filed under the name uncultured bacterium. RNAcentral's name for it is "partial 16S ribosomal RNA". It matches the Rfam family "Bacterial small subunit ribosomal RNA", at positions 524 to 776 of the family's 1533-position model. The record is from RNAcentral.